AAAAGGAUGGUACAGUCCAUCCAAAGUCGUAGGAUGAAUACCUUACCACCUUUUCAUUUGUUUAUUACUAAUGAAGAUAACAUGCUGGAAUGUUCGCAGACUUAAUAAGCCGGAGAAAUGUUGGGAGCUCAACAGAAUAAUCAAGUUUGCCGCAUGUGAUAUUGUUAUUCUAGUGGAAACGAAAAUUAAACAAUCACGCGUUCAAGCUCAAAAGAAUUUAAUAUGGCCGGACGCAGAACUG
RNAcentral lists this long non-coding RNA (241 nucleotides) under Musa acuminata (dwarf banana). Its description in RNAcentral is "long non-coding RNA (MACU_LNC007708)". Lineage: Eukaryota; Viridiplantae; Streptophyta; Magnoliopsida; Zingiberales; Musaceae. The record is from RNAcentral.